CGAUCUGGCUCAGGAUGAACGCUAGCGACAGGCUUAACACAUGCAAGUCGAGGGGCAGCAUAAAAGUAGCAAUACUUGGUGGCGACCGGCGCACGGGUGAGUAACGCGUAUGCAACCUACCUAUCAGAGGGGAAUAACCCGGCGAAAGUCGGACUAAUACCGCAUAAAACAGGGGCACCGCAUGGUGAUAUUUGUUAAAGAAAUUCGCUGAUAGAUGGGCAUGCGUUCCAUUAGGUAGUUGGUGAGGUAACGGCUCACCAAGCCGACGAUGGAUAGGGAACUGAGAGGUUGGUCCCCCACACUGGUACUGAGACACGGACCAGACUCCUACGGGAGGCAGCAGUGAGGAAUAUUGGUCAAUGGGCGAGAGCCUGAACCAGCCAAGUCGCGUGAAGGAAGAAGGAUCUAUGGUUACGUAAACUUCUUUGCGAGGGGAAUAAAGUGCAGGACGUGUCCUGUUUUGUAUGUACCCUGAGAAUAAGGAUCGGCUAACUCCGUGCCAGCCGCGGC
RNAcentral lists this ribosomal RNA (510 nucleotides) under uncultured bacterium. Its description in RNAcentral is "bacterial SSU rRNA". It matches the Rfam family "Bacterial small subunit ribosomal RNA", at positions 14 to 518 of the family's 1533-position model. The record is from RNAcentral.